GGUGCAUUCGUCUAGUGGUCCAGGACGCCGCCCUCUCACGGCGGAAACUCGGGUUCGAAACCCGGACGCACUA
This 73-nucleotide transfer RNA is filed under the name Parabacteroides sp. Its description in RNAcentral is "tRNA-Glu". It matches the Rfam family "tRNA". Rfam says of the family: Transfer RNA (tRNA) molecules are approximately 80 nucleotides in length. Their secondary structure includes four short double-helical elements and three loops (D, anti-codon, and T loops). Lineage: Bacteria; Pseudomonadati; Bacteroidota; Bacteroidia; Bacteroidales; Tannerellaceae. The record is from RNAcentral.